UACGUAGGUGGCGAGCGUUGUCCGGAUUUACUGGGCGUAAAGGGAGCGUAGGCGGACUUUUAAGUGAGAUGUGAAAUACCCGGGCUCAACUUGGGUGCUGCAUUUCAAACUGGAAGUCUAGAGUGCAGGAGAGGAGAAUGGAAUUCCUAGUGUAGCGGUGAAAUGCGUAGAGAUUAGGAAGAACACCAGUGGCGAAGGCGAUUCUCUGGACUGUAACUGACACUGAGGCACGAAAGCGUGGGGGAGCAAACAGGAUUAGAUACCCU
Molecule: ribosomal RNA, 266 nt
Filed under: uncultured prokaryote
Description: partial 16S ribosomal RNA
Rfam family: Bacterial small subunit ribosomal RNA
Source: RNAcentral